AUGAAGGAUCUUGGUGCUUCUAAGAAAAUUCUAGGUACAUUGGAACAUUGGAAGGCUAUUCAGUGGAUUUUCAGGUACCUUCGUGGCACUUCCAAUGCUUGUUUGAAAUUCGUCAGGACUAGUGAGGGACUAGCUGGCUAUAUGGAUUCAGAUUCUGCUUUCAGCGAUUUGGACAAGAGGAGGUCCCUUAGAGGUUAUGUGCUCAUAGUUGGUGGUUGUGCCGUGAGUUGGAGGGCAACAUUGCAGCUAGUAGUUGCCCAGUCUACCACUGUAGCAGAAUACGUUGCUAUUGCAGAAGCACGUAAAGAAUUAGUUUGGCUGAAAGGUUUUCAGAGUGCCAUAUACCCCACUAAGGAUCAGAUGUUCCAUGAGAGAAAAAAGCACAUUGUUGUCAAAUAUCAUUAUGUCAGAGACAUUGAUCAGAUGUUCCAUGAGAGAACAAAGCACAUUGUUGUCAAAUAUCAUUAUGUCAGAGACAUUGUUGAGCAAGGGAGGAGGUUCUCAUUCAUGCUACAAGAUGGAAUUUGUCUCAAGGUGGAGUUUGUUAUGUUAUGCUUCAAAUUCAAGUAUAAAGAGAAAGGCUAA
RNAcentral lists this ribosomal RNA (585 nucleotides) under Triticum aestivum (bread wheat). Its description in RNAcentral is "partial small subunit ribosomal RNA". The record is from RNAcentral. Lineage: Eukaryota; Viridiplantae; Streptophyta; Magnoliopsida; Poales; Poaceae.